AAACUGCGAUAAGUAGUGUGAAUUGCAUUUAGUGAAUCAUCGAAUCUUUGAACGCACCCUGCACUCACUGGUAUUCCGGUGAGUACGCCUGUUUCAGUAUCAUUGAAAACACACAAUCAAAACAUUUUCUUUGGUUUGAUUGGCUUUGGGUCUAUCAAAAAGUUUGGCUUGUUUCUUACAAGACAAGCGGCCUGAAAUAUAUUGUCUGGCUAAUUGCAUCGUUGAUGAUCGCUAUUAGACUUUGGCUUUUUUAAAUGAACUGGAGGUUGAUUAACCAGUUUUAGCUUUAGUCAAAUGGUCAUUGUAAAAAAAAUCUCGAUCUUGGCUAGGUGUUUAUAGCCGAAAAUUUUUUUUUGGCUAUAACCGAAACCAAUAUAAUCACAUUUAGUUAUCGAUCUGAAAUCAGGUGGGACUACCCGCUGAACUUAAGC
This 431-nucleotide unclassified non-coding RNA is filed under the name plant metagenome. RNAcentral's name for it is "partial contains 5.8S ribosomal RNA, internal transcribed spacer 2, and large subunit ribosomal RNA". The stretch from base 1 to 102 matches the Rfam family "5.8S ribosomal RNA", at positions 50 to 154 of the family's 154-position model. The record is from RNAcentral.